UAUCGGUUGGAAGGUUGGUAUCUUAUUAGUUUCCUUAGCUAAUAAAAUUGGUUCGAUUCCAGUAGCCGAAAU
RNAcentral lists this transfer RNA (72 nucleotides) under Companilactobacillus paralimentarius. RNAcentral's name for it is "tRNA-Arg". Lineage: Bacteria; Bacillati; Bacillota; Bacilli; Lactobacillales; Lactobacillaceae. The record is from RNAcentral.